GCGAGUGAAGCGGUAAAAGCUCAAAUUUGAAAUCUGGCUCUUUUAGAGUCCGAAUUGUAAUUUGUAGAAGAUGCUUCGGGUGUGGUUCCGGUCUAAGUUCCUUGGAACAGGACGUCAUAGAGGGUGAGAAUCCCGUAUGUGACUGGAUACCUAUACUCAUGUGAAGCACUACCGACGAGUCGAGUUGUUUGGGA
RNAcentral lists this ribosomal RNA (194 nucleotides) under Botrytis cinerea. RNAcentral's name for it is "partial large subunit ribosomal RNA". It matches the Rfam family "Eukaryotic large subunit ribosomal RNA", at positions 89 to 279 of the family's 3401-position model. The record is from RNAcentral. Lineage: Eukaryota; Fungi; Ascomycota; Leotiomycetes; Helotiales; Sclerotiniaceae.